Molecule: non-coding RNA, 30 nt
Filed under: Rattus norvegicus (Norway rat)
Lineage: Eukaryota; Metazoa; Chordata; Mammalia; Rodentia; Muridae
Source: RNAcentral
UACUCAGUAAGCCUUUUAUUUUUGAGGAAU